CUGGCCCACCGGGCUACGAGAUGCGCUUGGGGGGAGCCAGGACGGAGGAAGAGGAGAGAGAAAGAGAAGUAAAGUCAGAGAGGCAGGAAGCUAGAGAGGGGCUCUGAGCAGGGGCCAGAGGGAGAUGAGCUAUGAAGACCCACAGAGUGAAGUAACAGAGGGAUGGGGGUGAAGGGGAGAAGAGAGACAGGGAGAUGGAAGGAAAAACGCAGAAAUGGAGAGACAAAAUGAGAGAGACAGAUACAGACACAGAGUUAGGCCAAGGAGAGACAAAGACAGAUACACAACAAGGCAAGAGGCGAAGAUGAGGAGGGACAGAGACUGAGAAAGAAAAUCAGGCGGGCGCGGC
Molecule: long non-coding RNA, 349 nt
Filed under: Homo sapiens (human)
Lineage: Eukaryota; Metazoa; Chordata; Mammalia; Primates; Hominidae
Description: HSALNT0397956
Source: RNAcentral